UUGAGGUAAUUGAGUUUGCCUUGUCACCGUAUCACCUUGAACAAAGCAUGUCGCUACAAAAGUGGGGUCUUCAGACAAGGAGUGUUGAGCAUGGAAUGAGAGAAUAUGAGAAGGAAAAAAAGAAGAGAGUGAUCUUGGAGGUUUUUCUUUCUAAUGGCAAAAUGGGAAUUAUAGGAGGAAGUUCGUAUUAUAAAGCUAGAGGUGAAAUUCUUGGAUUUUUAUAAGACGAACUAAGGCGAAGGCAUUCUUCAACGGAAUAUCCGUCGAUCAAGAACGAUAGAAGGGGGAUCGAAGACGAUCAGAUACCGUCGUAGUCUCUUCAGUAAACUAUGCCGUCUUUGAAUGGGGAAGCGAUUUAAGUUUUGAAGAGCUGUAAAAAGGUUUGGAAAACUAAUGUCCAUCUCCGCGCAAUAAAAGAAAUUAAGAGAUUUUGGGUUCCGGGGG
Molecule: ribosomal RNA, 444 nt
Filed under: uncultured eukaryote
Lineage: Eukaryota
Description: partial 18S ribosomal RNA
Rfam family: Eukaryotic small subunit ribosomal RNA
Source: RNAcentral